Equus caballus (horse) is the source of this 1860-nucleotide long non-coding RNA. RefSeq lists it as uncharacterized. Lineage: Eukaryota; Metazoa; Chordata; Mammalia; Perissodactyla; Equidae. The record is from RefSeq and is a predicted model, not a curated record.
GAAUGGUGUGGGUUUCAAGUUCCAGACAAGAGAGACCCAGGGCCAGGUUCACUGACCUGUAAAACCUAAUAUAUUUGCUAUCUGACCCUGCUCCUCAUGUGAGGCUGUGCACGUCAGACUCAAAACUGCUCUGGUUCCCUCCUUUUCUGCUAAUCCAUUCUCUUCCUCCCUGGGCGUUGUUCUCACAUCGCACCUUGCAACUCCUGCUCCCAAAAUGGAGGAUGCGCUUUCUGUGUUCUAAAUUCCAGAUGCAGACUUUUUACCUGGAGCUCAGGUGUGGCUUGGACUGUGGCUCCUGCAGCACCUGGGAACGGCUAAAGAGACAUUCUCAGUCUGCAUUGACCUGCACCCUCCCACUGCCCUCUGCGCAUGGACUCGUCUAGGAAAUGCCAGCUCACAUCAGUGGCUUGGAUGUAAUGAUUGUCCACAUGGAACGAGGCUGCAUAAUUGAUCUGUUUCUGCUCCAACUGGUACCGUGCCACCGCCCUCACAUGUGGUUUGGAGAGCUGAGGAUGGACACCCUGCAUGCUGUGAGCUCUCUGGGAUGACGUCCAGCUGUCUGUUGAUAGUGUCCUUGUGGCUCCAACAGGAUGACAAAACUCUCUGGAGCUGACCCACUGCUGCCUGAAAUGACUUCCCCAGAUGACCCUUUGUCCAAGAGCCCUGGCCCUCCCUCCACUGCUCUCCCUGACUCUCCUCUCAUAUGAAUUCCCUCCAUCCUUUAUGAGAAAAUCACUCAUUUUAUGUAUUAUGCCAUCACUAUGAGGCAGGAACACAGAUUUGGGUCUAAACCACACGUGCUUUAUAAAAUAUUUCUUCCAGAUUUUUAUCCCUCAGUCAUGUGGGAUUUGGGUGGAAAAUUAGGGAAAUAAUUCACCUCAUGGAGAGAUUUCCAUUCUUUGGGAACUCCCACGUCUGACUGGAGACACACAUGUGUCCUCAUUUCAAUGAGGAAAUCCUGGAUUAACUGUGUGUGUAGCUCUGCUGUCUUCUAUCAGCUCUGCAGAAGUGAUGGCCUCAGAGCCAGAGUCAUGGUUGAUGCUGCCUCAUUGAGUAUCACAGGUUAGGACGGACUGAAGAGGACAACUUAGGGCCAAACUUCAAUAUGGAACCACCAGGGGUUGUGAUUCUGUUUUGCUUCGUGCAAUCUUUUCUUCUUCCCAUAAAUUUUCUUUAUUCAGAUUUAAAAAGUUUUGUUUCUACAAAACCCAUGAAAAUGCCAGCAGGUCUUGGUGAGCUCUCAUUAUGUAGACUCAUCAGUGUGUAGGAUGCUGUGUGGUUCUGGGGUGACUCCAGGAUGAUGAGCACUUGGUGUGUGGAUGAGUAACAUGGACAUUGUGACAGAGAAGGUCACUGUCCUGCCUGAUGGGUAGCAGGACUCUGGUGGCUGAUUCUCAAGGCCUUGUGCACAGGCUCCACAGUCUACCCAAGAACAAUGGAGAACACACUUGACCUGAUGUGGUUGUGGGCCAACUGUCUGCUUCCAUAGAACGCUUCCUUCUAGAGGAUCCCUGAGAAUCCUGAGUUAGAGGUCCAGUAUGGAGGAGGCUGCCAGAGGAGUGGAAUUCUGAGUUGCCUCUUCAGUUGUAAGCUGUGAACCCAGAGAAACAUGCUGGCUGUAGAUCAUGAAGAGACUGUUCAGUACAAUGAGAGAAGGCAGCCUGAAUCUGUUUUCGACGCCCACUGAAACGCUGGUUCUUCCAGGGGCUGAUGCCUGCUGGUCUCUGGACUAGAACCACGCCAUCAGCUCUGUUGGGUCUCUGGUUUACCACUCAUCCUCAAGAUCCAGGACUUGCCAGAUUCCAUAAUCUCUUGAGUCAUGUAAGCCAAUUCCUUAAAAUAAAUCUGUUUACACACACA